UGCGGGGUAGAGCAGAGGCAGCUCGUCGGGCUCAUAACCCGGAGGUCGCAGGUUCGAAUCCUGUCCCCGCUA
RNAcentral lists this transfer RNA (72 nucleotides) under Pseudomonadota bacterium. RNAcentral's name for it is "tRNA-Met". It matches the Rfam family "tRNA". From Rfam's summary of the family: Transfer RNA (tRNA) molecules are approximately 80 nucleotides in length. Their secondary structure includes four short double-helical elements and three loops (D, anti-codon, and T loops). Lineage: Bacteria; Pseudomonadati; Pseudomonadota. RNAcentral also lists the same sequence under 11 other names. The record is from RNAcentral.